RNAcentral lists this transfer RNA (79 nucleotides) under Amborella trichopoda. RNAcentral describes it as "tRNA-Ser". It matches the Rfam family "tRNA". From Rfam's summary of the family: Transfer RNA (tRNA) molecules are approximately 80 nucleotides in length. Their secondary structure includes four short double-helical elements and three loops (D, anti-codon, and T loops). The record is from RNAcentral. Lineage: Eukaryota; Viridiplantae; Streptophyta; Magnoliopsida; Amborellales; Amborellaceae.
GGAGAGAUGGCUGAGUGGCUUAAGGCGUCAUGUUACUAAUGAGCUAUUUGUAUCGAGGGAUCGAGUCCCUCUCUCUCUG